Camellia sinensis is the source of this 215-nucleotide non-coding RNA. NCBI's taxonomy places the organism in Eukaryota, Viridiplantae, Streptophyta, Magnoliopsida, Ericales, Theaceae. The record is from RefSeq and is a predicted model, not a curated record.
AAAUUGACGGUAGGAAUGUGAAAGCACUUUACAGGAGGGCACAGGCAUACAUCCAACAUGUUUGCAAAGAUGAACAAACUAGAGCAAAUUAAAACAACUAAUGCAGCAACAAAGCAGGAAGCAGUGCCCAUGACCAUAGAUAGCAAGGCAUAAUAAUGAUGUAGCUGGUGUCUAGUUAAAGUGUCCUAAAAUGGUUGCUCUCUCUCAUAUGUGGU